UCCCUGAAAGAGUAGUGGUUAGGACACAGCGCUCUCGCUGCUACAGCCCGGGUUUGAUUCCUGGCCAUGGAA
Pangasius djambal is the source of this 72-nucleotide non-coding RNA. The record is from the annotation of a GenBank genome assembly. NCBI's taxonomy places the organism in Eukaryota, Metazoa, Chordata, Actinopteri, Siluriformes, Pangasiidae.